AAAAUUUGGUUUCACAAUGCCCUGCUUCAUUUUAGGUUUUCCAAAUUUCUCCUCUGCUUCUCUCAUUUCUUCAGUCUUUUCAUGUUCACUGUCUUCUUCAUUGACUCUUUCAAAUUCAAGCUUCUUAAUUGUAUUUUGUGGUAAGUUUUUCUCGCUUUUUUCUUCCUUAGUUUUUUUUUUUUGCUUCAAUAUUUUUCUUGUGCAAUUACUGAUAUUUUUAGAGAAUAUAAAGACAUGAAGUUUACAGAUGUGACCAUUUUUAUUUUCACUGAUCCAUUUGUGGAAAGGAAAAUUGGAUGAAAAUGACUAUAAACAAAAUAAUAUUUAACAACCAUCCAAACAAGUUGUUGAUGAAGAUGGAGAUACUGUUGCUCAAAUUUCGACAUACAUUCAUCAUCUGAAUCAAAUUUUGAUAUUUAUUCUUUUAGGUUAUUGUUCUCUAUUGUAUUUUCUCUAUAAAUAAUAUAUGAAUGUCAAUAGUAUUUUCUGAUUUAUUCAUGCAUCUUCACGAAUAAAUACUCAAGUUUCCUUAGUGCACCAAGGGUGUUUGAUAAUAUGCCUACAUCGAGAUGGAUCUUUGAUUCAGCACUAAAGGUUGGUCAAGCUGUGAACUAAUAAUUAUUUUUCCGUUCCUCGCUUCUUAGUGAACUUUUUUGUACUGUUGAAGGGAGAGAGGUAGAAAAGAGAUAUGCGAUACAGAAAUAUCAAGACAAAUAAAUAAAUGUCUUUUUUUCCUUUUCUUAAGUGAAGGAGAAAAGGAAAAAACAUAUGAUUGUUAUUUGUGGAAUUUGAACCUUUCAAUUCCAGGUAGAGUUUAAGUUAUUCAUAAAAUGAAUUCACCCUCAACUCCCUCUAAUUCUAUAUAGAAGCAACAUUACGUGCCUCAUUAUGAAAAAUCAUUUUUUUCCCAUUUUAUCACAGCUAAACUGGAAGGACCAAAGUUAUUUUCUUGCUUCCUGGAAUAAGAAUACAAGAGGGUACUUGAAUGUUUCUCAUAAUAUCAAAUAAUUUAGAAUAAUUGAAGGAUAUUCUCUAGAUUUGGUAACAACAUUUGAUGUUGGACCUAAUUAAUGUGCGGAAUGAUAGUUAAGUUAUCCGUAUGCGGUCAUCAUCAGUUGUAUUGGGUUAUGAAUGCUAACGAUAUGAAAUAAUGCAUUUAUUGCAAAUGAUGUACCUUUACAUUUGAGUUUUAUACAUGAUCAAUGUAAAUAUUUUUUGCACUAUCAGGUUAGCAGAUUUACAUUAACCUUCUUGAUAAAAUGUGCUACCCACAUGUAAAAAUUAUUUACGUUACGUUGACAAUGUAUAUUAUUUAUUAAACUCAUAUGUUUUAUUGUGCUUUCUAUUCUGGCUUUGAAAUUUGGGGCUGAGAAAAAGGUUGGGAUGUUCAUUGUUCAACUAAUUUGAGAUAUUAGACGAUGCUAUUGAUGUAAUGAAAUUGGAAGAUGGUGUAAUUCAAAACAUGGUAAAGUCUCUGAUUUGUAUUCACAAGUUGCAAUUCUUGAUGUUUUUCAUUGUAUUGAGUUAUUUUUCAUAAUAUUGACAAUUUUGACAAAUCUACAAUGAUUUUAACUCCACUAUAUACAUACUUGGUCGCCCAUGGAAGUAGUUUGAAAAGAUAAUUCAGCAAUUAUUUGGAAACCUUUCCUCAUGUUGGGAACCAAAAUGAGGUACAAGAAGCAAUGUAAAGUGUACUUCAAAUAGAACUUGAGUUGUACGAGUAGGGUUAAAAUAGUAAAUUCACUUUAUUCACUCUCUCACCUCUGCUUCUACUCUUUCUUCACUGCCUGACAACAUUGACAACCAUUUUAAACCUUCAACGGAGUUAAACUUUACUUCAGAGUCUCACUCCAACUUCUAAAGUUCUUUCAAUUGUUUACCUGGUAAGUAUUCUUGUGUGGUAUUGGCCCUCUUCCCUUAUGAAUUUUUACUCUUUUUUUUUUCAUUAUUGUGUUUAUGCUUCCUAUUAUUCUACUGAUUUUUCUUAUUUAUAGGUCUUCCACAAUUUUUCUUGAAUUCUUUUGAGUUCUUAUAGAUGCCUCUUGAAAUACAUGCAUAAUUUUGUUUUCAAUAUUUUGCAGUUUCUAACUCUAAAAUACUAAAAAUAUUAGUAGUAUUUUCUUAUCAAUAUAUGAUACUUUUUGCAGAUAAUUAAUGGCUUGAUGCGGUUGCAUGUUUGACGAAAUUUCCCGUGAAGGUAAGACUUGUGUGUUAUGAAGAGAGAUUAGUUACAAGAGUUGAUUGUUUUGGCAGAUGAUUCAAGGUGCUAAUGAAGUUGAACGGUGGGCUUAGGUGAAUAGACAUUUUCCCUUAUAAUAUCUUUUUUCCAUAUGGCAUCUUCCCCAAAAAAAAUUGAGAAAGAAUUUGAGUUGCCGAAUUCUUUGAUGCUGCCAUGAAAUUAGAAGUGAUAAUGUAAUGCUGAAAAUUCAGGGUAAGCUUUCAGUAUUGAUCUUUUUGUUGUUUGAACUACAUUUUUGAAAAAAAUCAGCUACUAAUAUAGUAAGUUGAGGUGGUAUUCAAAGACAAAUUGUUUAAAUACAAAGUCAGAAUAACAAGCAGGUUGAAUCAGGCGAAAAGGUUGAUUUCUGGCUCUCCAAUUUCCAAGUCCUUUAAGGAACCAUUCCACAUUUUCUUAAGAACCUUUAAACUUUUGGCAAUGGACCGUGAUGUUGGUGUCGCAUUUAUUUUUAGCAGUUGUUCUUGGAUAAAAGCUGGAACUUUAAUAUUGAAAAUUCUGUUACUAGAUUGAGUUCUAGAAGUCUGUCAUAUGAUCUUAUGCUUUCUCAAAGUUUUUGUUUCAUGUGUUCAUAUUAGUUAGAUACAAUUGAUAAUGUUAAAAAUAUUUUUCAUCUGAUCAAUCCAGAAAAAAAUGAACAUAAGAAAUGUAGCAAAUAAGUAAUAAUGUUGACGCUAGAAUUUUUUUGAGAAAUGAGUGAGUAAUAAAAUGUCCGGGUAAUGGAAGAAUCCUAUAAGACUAUUAAUUUAACGCAGAAACAAACUCUUUUCUUUAAUCUUGAGUUUGUUGAUCAAGAAUAGCUACUAACUCCUAAACUUUUUUAUAUCAUACGUGAAAUAGGAGUAGUAAUUUGAGUAUGCAAUAUAAUAAUAUUGUGUUAAGAGUGCUGUCAUAUGCUUUUUAUAGAGAAAUAUCAACUUCAUGUUUUCUCUUUUAUUUGUAGCAUAAUAUUCUUUCAUCAGAAUUUUGUGUCAUGGUCAUUAAUGGGUUCCUUCUUUUGCUUAUUGCAUUUGAAGGUUUGGCAAUGAAAUAGAUGAAAAAAAUGGAGGUUUUGCUUGAUCCAAGUAUGAGCUCUAAAAUGUAUGUGUUUAUCUUUCGCAAACAUUUUUAGCUAAUUUAUUCUCACAUUCAUUUGUUUUUGAAUAUUUUUACUCUUUCCAUGUCCCUCAAUAGAAGUAAAACAAACAUUUAUUUUGUAUUUCACGAGAGACAAUUUUGUAUAUGAGAUGUAGGUGAGACGAAGAGAAGCUGACAUUUUUAGUAUGUGCUCUUUCUAUGUCCCCAAAUUAAGAAGCAUAAGGAUAGGUAGAGCAUGAGCUCUUGCAGACUAAGUUGUUGUAUUAUAUGUUAAAUGUAAUAAAAGGAUUUUCUUAGUGGUUUAUACAACAUCAAUGUAAUAUUAUGUUAUUCAAACUUAAGGUCUGAUUUGAUUGUGAACUUUGGGCGGCCCAAAGUAAGAAAUGAACUUUUUGUUUUAGAACUACCAACUUCCAUAUUUGAAUGUGUAGCAGCCAUUAAAAAGAUAUCGAUUGAGUGCUUAUAACUUUAAGGUGGAAUAGAACUACAAAAAGUUAGGGUUGAUGUUCAUAAAAUAAACAAAUGGUGAAGCUUGCCAAUUGUAAAUCAAAUAUGUACAAAUAGUUGAACUGGUCGGUACUGACAGGUACAACCUUUGGUAUUUUUAUACAUAUGUUUGGAAAACACUUGCCUAAAUUUCCAUUUUGCAAAAAUAGGAGGAUUGACAGUAAUCUCAAUUUCAAUUGGUGGAUAGUUAUGAGAGUAAAAAUUAUUAAAUGAGUUUAGAUGAUUAAUAUACAAAGUGAAAACGUGAGAGAUCUACUAUUGAGUUCUUGUCAUAUCAGAGUCAACAACUUUGUUCGAACUGAUCGUUACACGCUUGUGAACAAUUUUGUAAAAAUAACCUAAAAAAUAAAGAGUUACAAGUGACUAUACAAACUCUUACAUGGAACUCUGGUGAACAACUCAUGCCUUUGAUUUGCUUCACUAUAUUAUGUUCGAAUACCACUUGAUUGUAUGAAGAGCUCCUACUUUGUUUUACUCAAUUUAUUCUAGGAUGUGAAAGUGAGUUUGCCUUAUAUGGGUCAAUUUAUGCAUACUGAACGUCAACAUCAGUUGUGGUAUUAGGUGUAUUAAACUUUAUUGCUGAAAUAUUGUAAAGAUGUACAAUUUCUCAAAUGGGUGGAUUUGUUGAUCUCCACAACCAACUAUACAAGAAUAUUGGAAACAAAUGGAAUUGGGUAUUUCAAAACAGGGAAGUCAUAUUUGUCGCGUUGGAAAAUUCGUCGUUUUUGCUUAUUUGUUUCUGGUGUGAAGGCUGAAAACUUUAUCUAAACUAUCAUGUGUGUGUGAGA
Molecule: long non-coding RNA, 4608 nt
Filed under: Solanum tuberosum (potato)
Lineage: Eukaryota; Viridiplantae; Streptophyta; Magnoliopsida; Solanales; Solanaceae
Description: long non-coding RNA (STUB_LNC003602)
Source: RNAcentral